GUGUGGAAGCUUGACUUGUUUUUUAAGUACAUCAAAGGUGACUUUAAAAACAACCUUUGGAUUAAACUGACUCAUCCACAGCUUUCUAGAUAAUGUUCCAUUAUUGAAUUUCUAAAAGCAUGUCUUUUAAAUGUCAUUCUAAAAUGGUUCAAGCUAGUAUUUCCAUUUUUUUAUUAUUAAACUACACAAUUCGGUUUCUUCGCUUAGAGACUCCUCCACACAGACAGCCAAGGAAGCCGAUGAGUAUCUGACUGAGCCCAAACAGGGUCUCAAGAAUGCCCACAAGCAGUAGACCUAAAAAUACUGAGAAAUGGAUAAUCCUAUGCUUGUUUUCCAUAGAAUUGAAGUGUAAGCUGUAUGUUCUCCAGUUACUGGCUGUUGUGUUGUUGUUGGAGGGAUUAUUGAAAUCCGUAGGAGAAACACAAGAGUCGUCAAAGAACCACUGCAGAUUGAAGGAUUCUGGAUGAAUGGCACUGGACAAAAUGAAAGAAAUGAUAAAGAUAAGAUAUUCAGGAAUACCACUGACCGUCUAAAGAAUGCAGCAUUGUGCCUAGAAAAGGACAUGUAUGGUAAAACAGAAAGUGCUUUUGUAACAUCGUGCCCAGAAACUAUAGCUAAGAUGAGGGUUUCUGAGCAUGUGCCGUUGUACUCUUAACAGUUGUAAAACGUUGACAUCGUAUAUCCCAUCACUCAACAAGCAUCUACAGAGGAUCUACUCUUAGAUUGAACUGUAUGAAAUUUUCUAUGUCAGAAAGGGUUGAAUAUUAAGUUUCCUGUGGUCGCACCUAUUCGUGCAGGCACUCUUCUACUGGCUAAAGAAACUAAAACAAGCUCCCCCGUUCAAGGAGCUCAGUUCUUAGUGCAAAACUGGUGUGUUGCGUCUGUUCUUAAACCCGAUGUACAAUGUUUACUCACAAAAGGCAUUUCAAAUAUGUCUGGUUAAAACCUUGUUGUAACAAGGUAUGGAGAAUGAGAAACUUUUAGCCCUAACACAUCUGUCCUGACAUGAUUUAUCUUUGGUUUUCUACAGUAGGACUAAGUGUUCUUAGAGAGUUUGCAUUUCUGCAUACCAGCAACUGAUGUGCAGCCUGGGAAGAACAACAGCAUGUCAGCACGUGGAAUAUGAGUAUGCUCAUUGCAGUUUGCAGCGAGCGUAGGGUCACUCUUCUGUAAUUGUUUACUCUCCGUAACUGUCUGUCUCCCCAACUAGAGUGGGAAUACCUUGAUGCUGUGACCUCCAGCUUGGCCUGGCGCCUGGUACAUGUUUUACAAAUUGUGCCUAGAUUCAGGCCCAGAACCAUCUUACAAGACUGAAAUGAGCCAUUUCCAUGUAACUCUUCAGCAUUAUUUGUUACUCUGACCAGCCCUGCCACUGGAGCCACACGGUGAUUCAGGAGAUGCUGACGCCUCGGCGGCUUUGCUGAGAUGCCGGUAACUGCUUAUGCACCAGACCAGCUGUGCUGUGCUCACCCCGGUUUUGUUAUUGCAGCAUGCUCUUUUCCUCGCUGCUAAGGACAUCGUUGUUGCUGGAAUGACCUGGAAAUUACAUCAACAGGAACAAAGAAUAUUAUUACUUCUCAUCAGAUGAUAAAGCAAUAAUCUUCACUUUCUACUUGCCAGCAGUUGUGGGAAGCCAAGAGGCUUAAGAGAAUAAAAAGGAGAUGUGACAAUGUCCUUGAUCUUGUGACCCUUAACGAUCCCCAUUUGGACCAUAAAGAUUAAAAAGGGGGAAAGGAUGGGGGAUUUCAGUAUAGCAAUUUAAAACUUCCGUCUGCAUUUUUACUUUGAGUCAUUAGAGAGACUUGGAUUUUAAAUAAAGUUAUUUAUUCAUUA
Long non-coding RNA from Aethalodelphis obliquidens (Pacific white-sided dolphin), 1833 nucleotides. RefSeq lists it as uncharacterized. The transcript is spliced from 3 exons. NCBI's taxonomy places the organism in Eukaryota, Metazoa, Chordata, Mammalia, Artiodactyla, Delphinidae. The record is from RefSeq and is a predicted model, not a curated record.